RNAcentral lists this ribosomal RNA (235 nucleotides) under uncultured bacterium. RNAcentral describes it as "partial 16S ribosomal RNA". It matches the Rfam family "Bacterial small subunit ribosomal RNA", at positions 100 to 334 of the family's 1533-position model. The record is from RNAcentral.
CGGGACGGGUGAGUAACGCGUGGAUAACCUGCCUCACACAGGGGAUAACAGUUAGAAAUGACUGCUAAUACCGCAUAAGCGCACAGUACCGCAUGGUACAGUGUGAAAAACUCCGGUGGUGUGAGAUGGAUCCGCGUCUGAUUAGGUAGUUGGUGGGGUAACGGCCCACCAAGCCGACGAUCAGUAGCCGACCUGAGAGGGUGACCGGCCACAUUGGGACUGAGACACGGCCCAA